RNAcentral lists this ribosomal RNA (239 nucleotides) under uncultured bacterium. RNAcentral's name for it is "partial 16S ribosomal RNA". It matches the Rfam family "Bacterial small subunit ribosomal RNA", at positions 92 to 334 of the family's 1533-position model. The record is from RNAcentral.
CGGGUGGCGGACGGGGGAGUAAUGUCUGGGAAACUGCCCGAUGGAGGGGGGUAACUACUGGAAACGGUAGCUAAUACCGCAUAACGUCGCAAGACCAAAGAGGGGGACCUUAGGGCCUCUUGCCAUCGGAUGUGCCCAGAUGGGAUUAGCUAGUAGGUGGGGUAACGGCUCACCUAGGCGACGAUCCCUAGCUGGUCUGAGAGGAUGACCAGCCACACUGGAACUGAGACACGGUCCAG